UACGUAGGGUGCAAGCGUUAAUCGGAAUUACUGGCGUAAGCGUGCGCAGGCGGUGAUGUAAGACAGAUGUGAAAUCCCGGCUCAACCUGGGAACUGCAUUGUGACUGCAUCGCUGGAGUACGGCAGAGGGGGAUGGAAUUCCGCGUGUAGCAGUGAAAUGCGUAGAUAUGCGGAGGAACACCGAUGGCGAAGGCAAUCCCUGGGCCUGUACUGACGCUCAUGCACGAAAGCGUGGGAGCAAACAGG
Molecule: ribosomal RNA, 246 nt
Filed under: uncultured bacterium
Lineage: Bacteria
Description: partial 16S ribosomal RNA
Rfam family: Bacterial small subunit ribosomal RNA
Source: RNAcentral